Long non-coding RNA from Bombyx mori (domestic silkworm), 1414 nucleotides. RefSeq lists it as uncharacterized. The transcript is spliced from 2 exons. NCBI's taxonomy places the organism in Eukaryota, Metazoa, Arthropoda, Insecta, Lepidoptera, Bombycidae. The record is from RefSeq and is a predicted model, not a curated record.
AAGAGGUUAAAGUCUCAAUCUUAUUCAGUAAUAACUUUUCUGAGCUUCAAACGGUAACGCAUCAGCGGACUUACAAAACAUCCCUUGGUUCAAAAAUAGUAGUUUUUUACCAAGUUAAUUUAGCACCACGAAAUUUUUGAGACUUUUUAACCCUACAAUUAAAUAUACGUGAGCUCGCGGGGCUCAACCGGAGAGUUGCUAACACUGACCCUAGUAAGAGCAGUGCUUCGCAGAAUCUACCACCGGAUCGGAGAUGCGACCCACUGAGAAGAUCCGGCGAGAAACUCAGUGACCUGUGUCUAUGGGUUAGUUCGCUCGUCCAGCCCUACGUCGCAAGCGACGGGUUCGACGAGCACGGUGACCGUUCUGAAGUCAGAGAUUGUUGAUUGUGUGAUAUAUGUAUUUACAAGAAAUUUCUGGGUAAAAGCUGUUAAUGUGUUUUUUCAAAAAUAUAUCCACACGAACAACGUUUCAAGGAAAAGCCUUGUUAAGUGAAGUGAGUCUACCCAAAACUUUCUUGAACGCUACAUAAAGAUAUUGAAAUACAUUCGUUUUCGAAAAGAUUAUGAUGAGAGCCCUGUCAAAAAUGAAGUUGGUUUAUUCUUACCUUCUUUUCAUUGACUGGAACCUUCAGUGCCGGAGGAGGUAGAUCAGGUUUUGUGGAUCGCUUCGGCUUGGGUGAUCCUGGACGAUUCAAUGACGGGUCCCUGUCCGUCGGAGGAUUCUCCGAGGACAUGUCGAACCCAUUGUUCACAUGUGUUUGACUCUGUAAACAAAAUAAAUAUAUUAGUAAAAAUUAAAAUAGAUAUGAAAAGUAGAAUAGACAAAUAAUUCGCUUGGUGCUGACUGUUAUUAAUCAAAACUGCUGAUUUAUAUAUUUUAAUACGAAUAAAGCACUUUCGGAUAAACUCGAAGGUUCGCAGUGUUUGUGCAUUCACAGCAUAUUGGGACUCCAGAAUUAAUACCCGGCUUGAAAUCAAGGCUGAAUUAUAGUGGUUUCUAAUCAAAUGAUAUGGUGACAUCGAUAUUGUGGAGAUUGAUUUGUCUGGAUUCACGAAUAUUCAGAAUAAUCGAUGACUAACGGCAAAUACAAGCGCCUUGCAAUACAUCUGUUCGUAUUUUAUGAAUUACUUAUUUUGAUUUAUGAUACUUUUAGCAUUUUUUACGCACAUUUUAAAAAUAUCAAGUAUUUUUACCUUUUUUAUUUUAUGAUGGUUUUAUCGACUUUUGUAACCUGUACUAAACUGAGAGACAUAGUAUACAAUAUUUAUAUACUAAUAGCAUUUUAUGGUAGUAUACUUUAAAAUGAGUUGUUUUGUUGUUUAUUAACUUUAAAUGUAAUGAUAAUAAAUAUGUGCAUCGACAGUGUUUAAUAUUUAGCAUUUGGAUGUUUAAUUAAAGCUGUAUCGCUUAA